UCUUAUCUAGAGAGGUGGAGGGACUGGCCCUAUGAAGCCCAGCAACCGCAACUUAUGAACGGUGCUAAUUCCAGCAGUAAAAUAUACUGAAAGAUGAGA
RNAcentral lists this non-coding RNA (99 nucleotides) under uncultured Clostridium sp. RNAcentral's name for it is "SAM riboswitch (S box leader)". It matches the Rfam family "SAM riboswitch aptamer (S box leader)". Rfam says of the family: The SAM riboswitch is found upstream of a number of genes which code for proteins involved in methionine or cysteine biosynthesis in Gram-positive bacteria. The SAM riboswitch acts at the level of transcription termination control. The record is from RNAcentral. Lineage: Bacteria; Bacillati; Bacillota; Clostridia; Eubacteriales; Clostridiaceae.